RNAcentral lists this ribosomal RNA (430 nucleotides) under uncultured Chlamydiae bacterium. RNAcentral's name for it is "bacterial SSU rRNA". It matches the Rfam family "Bacterial small subunit ribosomal RNA", at positions 958 to 1385 of the family's 1533-position model. The record is from RNAcentral. Lineage: Bacteria; Pseudomonadati; Chlamydiota; Chlamydiia.
AACGCGAAGAACCUUACCUGGACUUGACAUGCUUUUGACCGCCGUAGAAAUAUGGUUUUCUCGCAAGAGACAAAAGAUACAGGUGCUGCAUGGCUGUCGUCAGCUCGUGCCGUGAGGUGUUGGGUUAAGUCCCGCAACGAGCGUAACCCUUGUCGUUAGUUGCCAUCACGUAAUGGUGGGCACUCUAGCGAGACUGCCUAGGUUAACUAGGAGGAAGGUGAGGAUGACGUCAAGUCCGCAUGGCCUUUAUGUCCAGGGCUACACACGUGCUACAAUGGUCGGUACAGAAGGAAGCAAAGUCGCGAGAUGGAGCAAAUCCCCAAAGCCGACCUCAGUUCGGAUUGGAGUCUGCAACUCGACUCCAUGAAGAUGGAAUUGCUAGUAAUGGCGGGUCAGCAACACCGCCGUGAAUCCGUUCCCGGGCCUUGUA